This 23-nucleotide non-coding RNA is filed under the name Gallus gallus (chicken). Lineage: Eukaryota; Metazoa; Chordata; Aves; Galliformes; Phasianidae. RNAcentral also lists the same sequence under 2 other names. The record is from RNAcentral.
UGCCUAAGGAGGGGUGAACCGGC